This 468-nucleotide ribosomal RNA is filed under the name uncultured bacterium. Its description in RNAcentral is "partial 16S ribosomal RNA". It matches the Rfam family "Bacterial small subunit ribosomal RNA", at positions 28 to 507 of the family's 1533-position model. The record is from RNAcentral.
GAUGAACGCUGACAGAAUGCUUAACACAUGCAAGUCAACUUGAAUUUGGGUUUUUUAACUUAGAUUUGGGUGGCGGACGGGUGAGUAACGCGUAAAGAACUUGCCUCACAGCUAGGGACAACAUUUGGAAACGAAUGCUAAUACCUGAUAUUAUGAUUAUAAGGCAUCUUAGAAUUAUGAAAGCUAUAUGCGCUGUGAGAGAGCUUUGCGUCCCAUUAGCUAGUUGGAGAGGUAACGGCUCACCAAGGCGAUGAUGGGUAGCCGGCCUGAGAGGGUGAACGGCCACAAGGGGACUGAGACACGGCCCUUACUCCUACGGGAGGCAGCAGUGGGGAAUAUUGGACAAUGGUCCAAGAGUCUGAUCCAGAAAUUCUGUGUGCACGAUGACGUUUUUCGGAAUGUAAAGUGCUUUCAGUUGGGAAGAAAAAAAUGACGGUACCAACAGAAGAAGUGACGGCUAAAUACGUG